GACAGAGAUUUUAUGGUGACUGAG
This 24-nucleotide non-coding RNA is filed under the name Rattus norvegicus (Norway rat). Lineage: Eukaryota; Metazoa; Chordata; Mammalia; Rodentia; Muridae. The record is from RNAcentral.